CUCGACACGAAAUGACGUAUUUUUGAGGGGAAAAAAGUGUCGCUCGUCACUUUCCUUUCAGAAUUUUGUUAUGUCGCAGACACCGUCAUAUUUUGUCGCGCAAUGUGAUUGGGCAGUGUGUCGUCAUGGAGAUUGUAGUUUUCACUGAACUUCCUUCUGGUCUGUAAUUUACGGAAGAGGGUUAGGGCCACAUCAUAUAUCCAUGGGCCAAAUGUGAAAAAUGUAUUUGACUUCUGAGUUUAAAGUCAGAACUCAGACUUCUGACUUUAAACUCUGAACUCAAACACAUUUUUCACGUGGCCCUAAUCCUCUUCUGUAGUAACUUUAGAUAAUGUGUAACUUCCUUGCUCAAUAAAUCCUGGUCGGGAUGAUAUAUUGUAACGAAACAAGCCGGCUGGAUGAUAGCGUCUGGUUACUAUGGAGACGACUGAAACCUUUCGUCGAAGCAUAAACUGAAAACGUCGCGCGACUCUUUCAUUUCUGUUGAGCGACACUCAUCACAAGUGUCGAGCGACCUAAAACGAUGACUUGCUGUCGUCUCCGCUUAGCGUCGCAUAUGUGAAUAUGAGCGAUGACAGUACCAGUUUUACUUUUUUUCUCUUUAGACUGAUAUAUUCUCUAAAUUUAAAGCUUGAGGUUCAACCACUGAGCCUUUGUUGAGCUAAAACGUCACCGCUGUCAACGCAAACCAAACUCCGUUCACGGAAUGAUCGAGUAAACCUUUGCCUUCCCGUCAGCGUGAGGCGAUUCAUAUCCAAUUGAUCGCAGUAGCGCCCUUCUCUGUGAAGCACUGAAGUACAAGAACCCUCUCAACUGGCAUCUUUGUCCAGGUCCAACUGAGCCACGCCUUUGGAGCCACACUCUUGAAAUGGGUUUCAUCUCUAGUUUGUGGAGUGCUGAUUGGAGGUGAAGCUCAGGUUAAUGAUCACCUUUCAGUGAGAAUGCCUGUGGUCUGCGGAGAGGAAGACAGAUUAGGAGAUAUGGGACAGAGAUAAAAGAUCCGUGAGAUCACAUGAGAAUGGCGCAUCUGGUCACAGAGAGUCGGAGAGGCAGAGCAAAACUGAGGAGUUAUGUCAGAAGAAGCUGCAUCAGGUUGAGAUGAUAAAAGACAAUCAGACAUACUGUGUAGUGGAGUGAGGAAAUGACUCUGCAGAGUUUCGACUAAGAUGGGAGAUGGGAGGAGAGGGAGUCCCCCAGGUAUGCAGGCCACCGACUGCUGCCAGCAGCCCAGACUGAGUCGUCUCUGUUGGCACCGACCCACACAGAAACCAUGUGGCCUGGGAUUCCAAAGGCACACAGAGAGAAACAGCUUUACUAAGCAUAACGUCUAGGAAUGACGAGGAUCCAAUGCACUCCGAAACUUGGCCUCUGCACAAAAGAUAGAAAAAAAGAUCUUUUGUGAUGGAUUUUAAUCACUAAUGUGAAUAAUGUAGCCUAUCUGAAUUCAAAGAAGUGGAGUGGAGAUGGAAACUUUUGCUGUAGUUCAGCAAUUUCUUGCAAACAAGUAAGAAUGAAUUGUAGCUUAAGACUGUUCAUACUUUUAAACUGAGAUUUUUCUUAUUGAUACAUUUUAUUGUUCUAUAUCAUGCUUUAAUAAUGAAGCUGUAGAUAAAUUUCACUGUGGACAAUAAAGUUUAGUGUUGUAUUGUGUUA
This is a long non-coding RNA of Thunnus maccoyii (southern bluefin tuna), 1653 nucleotides long. RefSeq lists it as uncharacterized. Lineage: Eukaryota; Metazoa; Chordata; Actinopteri; Scombriformes; Scombridae. The transcript is spliced from 7 exons. The record is from RefSeq and is a predicted model, not a curated record.